RNAcentral lists this long non-coding RNA (277 nucleotides) under Sarcophilus harrisii (Tasmanian devil). RNAcentral's name for it is "lncRNA (ENSSHAG00000021783.1)". The record is from RNAcentral. Lineage: Eukaryota; Metazoa; Chordata; Mammalia; Dasyuromorphia; Dasyuridae.
AGAAGCUGACAUGCUUCAGGCUUUUGAAUGGACACAAGGACUCUGGACCAAAACAGGGCUAAAGGAAUUUGCAAAUUGAAGGUAUAAUGAAGACCAUCAGACCAUGGGAGUCCAUUUUCUCACCUUUUUCAGUUUCCUUCCUCUUAUUCCAGAUGCUCACAUUGACCUCAGGUGAGGAAGAGAUGAUGUCAAUGGAUCCGAGGUGGGAAAGAUGAUGAGGGACGUCAUUGGCUUCUGGAUGGUCCUUCACAUGUAUUUAGUACAUAUGUAUUACUCA